Regulatory RNA element from Astyanax mexicanus (Mexican tetra), 54 nucleotides. It matches the Rfam family "UnaL2 LINE 3' element". Rfam says of the family: The eel long interspersed element (LINE) UnaL2 and its partner short interspersed element (SINE) share a conserved 3' tail containing a stem-loop that is critical for their retrotransposition. Lineage: Eukaryota; Metazoa; Chordata; Actinopteri; Characiformes; Acestrorhamphidae. The record is from Rfam.
UAGAAAUACCCUUGUAAGUCACUCUGAAUAAGAGUGUAUGCUAAAUGACAUAAA